Molecule: unclassified non-coding RNA, 1392 nt
Filed under: uncultured Neocallimastigales
Lineage: Eukaryota; Fungi; Neocallimastigomycota; Neocallimastigomycetes; Neocallimastigales
Description: partial contains small subunit ribosomal RNA, internal transcribed spacer 1, 5.8S ribosomal RNA, internal transcribed spacer 2, and large subunit ribosomal RNA
Rfam family: Eukaryotic large subunit ribosomal RNA (bases 625-1392)
Source: RNAcentral
AAGUUAAAAGUCGUAACAAGGUUUCCGUAGGUGAACCUGCGGAAGGAUCAAUUAAUAAUUUUUUUUGAAAUAAAAAAAAAUAAUAUCAUCCUACCCUUUGUGAAUUUGUUUUGUUGAAUAAUUUUUUAAAAUUAUUUAUUGUCUAUCCAAGUUGGAAAGUUGUAAAAGACUAGAAGACUUGAGCGGCAUAAAUAAAUUUAAAGACUUUUUUCUAAAAUUAAACUUUUUGUAUUCAUUUGUCUAAAAUAAUUUUUAUAAUAUAUAAAACAACUUUUGACAAUGAUCUCUUGUUCUCGCAACGAUGAAGAACGCAGCAAAAUGCGAUAAGUAUGUGAAUUGCAGAAUACGUGAAUCAUCGAAUCUUCGAACGCAUAUUGCACUUUUUUAGUUUACUAAAAAGUAUGUCUGUUUGAGUAUCAGUAAAUAUUCUCAUAAAAUUUUUUAAUUUUAUGGUUAUGAGUGUUUUACAACGAUAAACAAGUUGUUUCACUUAAAUUGAAUUUUUUUGAAGAAAUUCUUUAAUUCAAAUUAAAUUUGGAUAAAAUUUUCCCGUAAAAAGGAAUAACUAUACAGUUUAAUAAGAUUUAGUGAUUUCUUUAUGAAAAGGAAAUUUAUUAAAUAACUUGAUCUCAAAUCAGAUAAGAGUACCCGCUGAACUUAAGCAUAUCAAUAAGCGAGGAAAAGAAACUAACAAGGAUUCCCCUAGUAAACGCGAGUGAAGCGGGAAGAGCUCAAAUUUGAAAUCUUAAAGGGUUCCCUUUACGAAUUGUAGUUUAAAGAAGUGUUUUCUGUUGAGGUUUGGUAAAAGUUCUUUGGAAUAGGACAUCAUAGAGGUGAGAAUCCCGUAUUUGACCUUUACUUUCAACUUUGUGAUACACUUUCAAAGAGUCGGAUUGUUUGGGAAUGCAGUCCAAAAUGGGUGGUAAAUUUCAUCUAAAGCUAAAUAUUGGCGAGAGACCGAUAGCGAACAAGUACCGUGAGGGAAAGAUGAAAAGAACUUUGAAAAGAGAGUUAAACCAGUACGUGAAAUUGUCAAAAGGGAAGCGUUUGACACCAGUGUUUUUUCUGAGAAAUCAAUUAAAGAACUGUUUAUGCUAAGUUGUUUAGGCUUUAUCAGCUAACUGUUUAGUUUUGAGCUUCUUUAAUGCACUUUUCAGUUAACAAGUCAACAUCAAUUUCUUUUGCUGUAAAAAGCUUGAGGAAGUGGCUUGAGAUUCGUUUAAGUGUUUAUAGCCUCUUGCCUAUGCAGUCGGAGAGAUUGAGGUCUGCAGCGUAGAUCCUUCGGGCUAAAUGCAUUUGUGCUAAGUUAUAGCAUUUUAUUGACAACUUGUUGACUAUGAUUUGUCUUGUAGCUUACUCGCUUAUGUUAUUUUACCUACGCUUAGGAUGUUG